RNAcentral lists this ribosomal RNA (497 nucleotides) under uncultured bacterium. RNAcentral's name for it is "partial 16S ribosomal RNA". It matches the Rfam family "Bacterial small subunit ribosomal RNA", at positions 28 to 507 of the family's 1533-position model. The record is from RNAcentral.
GAUGAACGCUGGCGGCGUGCCUAAUACAUGCAAGUCGAGCGAACGGACGAGAAGCUUGCUUCUCUGAUGUUAGCGGCGGACGGGUGAGUAACACGUGGAUAACCUACCUAUAAGACUGGGAUAACUUCGGGAAACCGGAGCUAAUACCGGAUAAUAUUUUGAACCGCAUGGUUCAAAAGUAAAAGACGGUCUUGCUGUCACUUAUAGAUGGAUCCGCGCUGCAUUAGCUAGUUGGUAAGGUAACGGCUUACCAAGGCAACGAUGCAUAGCCGACCUGAGAGGGUGAUCGGCCACACUAGAACUGAGACACGGUCCAGACUCCUACGGGAGGCAGCAGUAGGGAAUCUUCCGCAAUGGGCGAAAGCCUGACGGAGCAACGCCGCGUGAGUGAUGAAGGUCUUCGGAUCGUAAAACUCUGUUAUUAGGGAAGAACAUAUGUGUAAGUAACUGUGCACAUCUUGACGGUACCUAAUCAGAAAGCCACGGCUAACUACGUG